This 561-nucleotide ribosomal RNA is filed under the name Colletotrichum viniferum. Its description in RNAcentral is "eukaryotic LSU rRNA". The stretch from base 232 to 385 matches the Rfam family "5.8S ribosomal RNA". The record is from RNAcentral. Lineage: Eukaryota; Fungi; Ascomycota; Sordariomycetes; Glomerellales; Glomerellaceae.
UUAGAGGAAGUAAAAGUCGUAACAAGGUCUCCGUUGGUGAACCAGCGGAGGGAUCAUUACUGAGUUUACGCUCUAUAACCCUUUGUGAACAUACCUAUAACUGUUGCUUCGGCGGGUAGGGUCUCCGCGACCCUCCCGGCCUCCCGCCCCCGGGCGGGUCGGCGCCCGCCGGAGGAUAACCAAACUCUGAUUCAACGACGUUUCUUCUGAGUGGUACAAGCAAAUAAUCAAAACUUUUAACAACGGAUCUCUUGGUUCUGGCAUCGAUGAAGAACGCAGCGAAAUGCGAUAAGUAAUGUGAAUUGCAGAAUUCAGUGAAUCAUCGAAUCUUUGAACGCACAUUGCGCCCGCCAGCAUUCUGGCGGGCAUGCCUGUUCGAGCGUCAUUUCAACCCUCAAGCUCCGCUUGGUGUUGGGGCCCUACAGCUGAUGUAGGCCCUCAAAGGUAGUGGCGGACCCUCCCGGAGCCUCCUUUGCGUAGUAACUUUACGUCUCGCACUGGGAUCCGGAGGGACUCUUGCCGUAAAACCCCCCAAUUUCCAAAGGUGACCUCGGAUCAGGU